GAAAUCCUGGCUCAGGAUGAACGCUAGCUACAGGCUUAACACAUGCAAGUCGAGGGGCAGCAUGGUCUUAGCUUGCUAAGGCCGAUGGCGACCGGCGCACGGGUGAGUAACACGUAUCCAACCUGCCGUCUACUCUUGGACAGCCUUCUGAAAGGAAGAUUAAUACAAGAUGGCAUCAUGAGUCCGCAUGUUCACAUGAUUAAAGGUAUUCCGGUAGGCGAUGGGG
This 226-nucleotide ribosomal RNA is filed under the name uncultured bacterium. Its description in RNAcentral is "partial 16S ribosomal RNA". It matches the Rfam family "Bacterial small subunit ribosomal RNA", at positions 13 to 230 of the family's 1533-position model. The record is from RNAcentral.